GUACUUUGAUUUGUUAAUUAACUACGCCUAUUUAUACCAGUAAGAAAGUAUAUCAAAUAUAAUAUGAAAAAGUUAAUUAUACUUUCACGAAUGAAUACUAUUUUUAGUGGUUGUCAAACAUCCUAAUUUUUUCUAAAAUAAUUUAAUAAUGUAUUCCAAACGCACUCUAAAUCUUUGAGGAUAUGAAAAGUUAUUCAAAUAAUUUGUGAAGCUGUAUGCAGCUCGCCAUUAAUCUAUGUUCUUCCUAUAGGUUUAAUCUUCCCACAAUAUUAUGGAUUUCUCGAGUUCUUUUAACAUUCUCGUAAAUAAUUUGCUUCUAUCACAAGAACCAUACAAUGUCAAUAGACCAUAGUUAAUUAGUUGCUCCUUCGAUGUCGUAGUACCUUGAAACUCAUACUUUGAAUUGCUCUAAUGCAUCGUUCUCCAUUAGUUGUUGAGGUGUUGUCACACACUUUGUUGACCAUUUGAGUGACAUAUCUAGUCCAGUAUUGAUCUAUGUUUUCUCUACUGUAUAAUAAGGUAAAAGAAAACUAUGUAAAAAUUAUAAUUUGAAAAACGUAAAAUAUAAAAGAAAAAUUAACAUGCAAAUCAUUUACGUGAUUUACUAACAUUAUAUUAGUCCACCAGACAAAAAGAACAAAUUAAUUAGAGAUAAUAUUACAAAAUACAAAAUGGCGACAUCUCUCAGAAUUAGAUAGAAUUAAUUAAAGUUUAUAUAACAAACUUUCUCUAAACCCUAUAAAUACGAAUUCUACUUAAACUUGAGUAAUAGAAACGACACACAUUUUUAAUAAGUUUUCGUGUUUUAAAAGCGUUAUACGACAAAUUGAAAACAUCAAUAAAGGGAAGGAGGGGAAAGGGAGAACAUGGGGUUCUUCCAUUGAAGAUAAAAAAAUAAAAGAAGACCUAAUAGCCACUUUGAGAAGUUGAAAUAACACUUUAAGAAUUGAUCAAUUAAUUUCUCUAAUAUAUAUAUAAAUAAUAAGUUAAUUUGAAGUUACAAUUGUUAUUUAAUAUAUUCUUUUUUAUUUAUCAAAAUAAUAUAUACUUUAAUAAGGUAUUUAUUUCAUUUAAUUUAUAAUAAUUUUCAUACACACAAAAACAGAUCAGUUGCCAGUUGGGUCUAUGGGUAUUUCUUUAAUAGGUUUUAAAUUUUGUAUUUCUAUCCAAAAGAAAAAUGGUUUGGUAUACUGAAAUUGCUUUUGUUUUUAUUAUACAUAUCUUCAAGGGUUUGACCAAAAGAUUGCCCAAUUAUUUUCUAUAUAUAUACAUGAGAUAUUGUCUGUUUUUGUAUUUACAUUCAUUUUGCAAAAUAUAUUCCAAUAAUUUGUGAUUUAUUUCAACAUCUAUUUUUGUUUCAUGACUUCCUCUUUGUAUAUAAUGACAAUUCAAAGUUAGUUGUCUUUUUAUAUUGUGAAAAAAAAAAUGAAAAUCUCACAUUUGAAGUUAACGACAAGUACAAACAAGAAUGAGGUAGAGCAGUGUCACAAUAUUACAUAAAGCUAAGAACGUUGCAACAUUUCGACAUAAAAGUGAAGUAGUUUGACAAAAGUACUUAAUAGCAUCGUUAUGCUUUGCUUUUGCCAUGUUAUGAAGCAAAAAAACUAUACAACGUCAACUAAUAUCUUUUUAUCACUUUAUUUUGAAAAAUAAAGUUAAGUCUAAUAUAAUUUAGAACUCUAGUGACCAUUUAAGAGUUCAUAAUAGCUUAGGAUUAUGAUAGAUUCGUCUUAUCUUUUUAAAUACACAAAACGAGAAACCAAAAAUCAAUUGAAGCGAAAAGACCCUAAUUAAUAUUACUUAGCUUUAUGCACAUUGAAGAAGUUGUUGAGUUACCAUCUUGAAAGCAUAAAAAGAAAAUUCAAAAGCUUGAGACAAUCAUGGAGCUUAGCUCACGAUGAGAACGAAUGGCACACGUCAACUGUUAUUAUUUCUUUUUCAUUUUUCAUCUUUGGUUAAAAGUUGUUAUUUUGCAUGUAAAUUGGGAAGGAGUUGUUUAUCUGUAUUUUUAAAAUUUAGUCAAGAAUUUACAUGUUUGUUUCAAGUAAAAAUAUAUAAAUGGAUGAGUAAAGUAAAAAAAAAACAUAUAUAUUUUAAAUUAACACUUUAUAUUAAUAUUAUCUACUCAUACAUAACCCAUAAUUUGAUGCUUUAAGUCAUAACAACGAAAUAGUAAAAUGAGGUUAAUAGUUUGAGAUUAAUGAGAAUUGGCUUACUUCCCAAUAGAAUUAAAAAAAAAAAAGUAUUUCUUGAGCAGGUUAAACCUAAUUAGUCACAUUUUAACUGAUAUGCAUUUGAUGAUAGGGUAACACUAUUUAUUAAUAGGGUAUAACUCUUUACUGGCCAAACUAUAUAUAUACUCGGUUGAUCUAAAAACACACCCAUAAUAUUUCUAAUAAAAAAAACUCCAAGAGAAAAAGAAAAAAUAAUUCAACAAAUUAACUUCAAACCAUACAUGAUUAUAUAAAUCUGAAUGCAAACACUAACCAAAGACAUACCCUGAUUAAUAUUUUCAAUUAACAUUAUUAAAUAAAAACAAUAACAAUAGCAAUAAAUCCAAUAUAAUUUAUUCAAACAAAAUAAGAGAAAAAUCUAACAAAAUUGUGAGAUCUCAAUGUUUCCCUCCUACCAAUAAAAUAGAAAUAAAAAUAAAAAUACCCUUCAAGAAUAUAAUUUUGUAGCUUCACGUGCAGCCUAAGCUGUAGAUUUGAAAAAAAAAAAUUCCCUAUUUUCUUUUUCCAUUUUCAAAACUUUAAAAGCCCCAUUUUUUCUCAUCACAAACCCCAAACCAAACCCAACCAUUUUAGCUUCCCCAUAAUUUCCCCUUUUUUUUUCCUUUUCUUUUCUUUUGGGUCCUCCUCUUUUCCCCUCUUCUUAUACUUAUAAUAAUUUCAUUUCAAUCCCUCAACUAAUUUUCUUUAUUUUACCAAAAUCAACACACAAAAAAAGGGAAAGUUUUUACCAUUGUAUAUUAUGGCUCUAGAGGCAGUUGUUUUCCCACAAGACCCUUUUGUGUAUAAAGAUCAUUUGUUCAUGAAUUUGGUGAAUUCUUCUUCAUGCCUCAACUUCAUUGAUAAUCAUCAAGCUAAUGAUCAAGAUGAUCAUGACUUUUAUUAUCUUCCCAACCUAUCAGUACAGAAUAACUCUCCAAUAUUUUUGGACGAUGAUCAUUAUAAUUUUAAUGAUGAAUCAGUACGACAGGUUGUUGAUUCGACGUUGAUGACGAGCGAGAUGAAGGACGGAGGAGGGAGCGAGCGGAUGGGGAGACGGCGGCAGCAGCGGCGGAGAGGGAAAACACAAAAGAACAAGGAGGAAAUAGAGAACCAAAGAAUGACACACAUUGUUGUGGAGAGGAAUAGAAGAAAGCAAAUGAAUGAGUAUCUCUCUACUCUUAGAUCAUUAAUGCCUCAUUCCUAUGUUCAAAGGGUACCAUCUCUUAUCUUUCUCUCUCCUUUUUUUUCUUCAUAUAUUCUCUCUCUCUCUCUCUUAACAUAUAAAAGAAAAGAAAGCUCACUUUUUUUCUUUUUUCUUACUUCACCCAUAAUGUAAAAAGAAAAUGGCCCAUUUCUCUCUUUUUUAUAUUUGAAAUAGAGAAAGUGAAAAAAAAAAGUUCUUUAUUUUUAUUGGUGGAGCUAUUAUUGUUUUUACAUAGGAUUAAAAUAAAAUAAAAGUGGGAGAUGUUUGAGAAAAGACUUUUUAAAAAAGAAAUUUAAUAAAAAUAUACUUUCAAUUUUGUUAUGUGUCGAAGGUUUUUGCACUUUAAAAGUAUGUAAAAUUUGAACUUUUUUGUUUGCUAAUAGGUUUUGUUAUUUUGAAAAUAGAAAACAUUUUUGGAAUGAAAAUAUUUUGUUUAAUUUUAUGUAAAUGUACAUAGAAAAGUAACGCUAGAAGUUAUUUUAUACACACUUUCAACCACAACAUUAAUAAUAAUGUUCAACACGAGGAAAAGAUAAACUAGAAAGACUUAUCACAUGGGAACUAUGUGAAUUGAUAGACCAAGUACUAUUAUUGUUCAAUUAAACUUUAUCGUUGUUAUUUUUUUACUCUACAAAAAAUGAUAGUUGUUCAAACGAGUAUAGCUCAACAAGGAUAAAGCUCUUUCUUUUUUAUAUGACGAACUUUUGUUGGUUAAAGAACUUAAAAGAGGUUCUACCUAUUGAACGAAUACAAUAAAAAGAUACCCAUGAAAAAGAGGAGGAAGUAAAAAAGUAGAUGAAUUAGAGGAAGUUCAACUCAC
RNAcentral lists this long non-coding RNA (4237 nucleotides) under Cucumis sativus (cucumber). RNAcentral describes it as "long non-coding RNA (CSAT_LNC000390)". Lineage: Eukaryota; Viridiplantae; Streptophyta; Magnoliopsida; Cucurbitales; Cucurbitaceae. The record is from RNAcentral.